Equus quagga is the source of this 11150-nucleotide long non-coding RNA. RefSeq lists it as uncharacterized. The transcript has 3 exons. NCBI's taxonomy places the organism in Eukaryota, Metazoa, Chordata, Mammalia, Perissodactyla, Equidae. The record is from RefSeq and is a predicted model, not a curated record.
CUGGGGACCUGGCGCUCCCCGCACCCGGAGACCUCUUGCCCUGCAGAAAAGGACGACACCCACCUCACCCUCGCAGCAACCCCCUUCUACACCCGCCUCCACGGAACCCUGAUCCUGGCUCCCCUUCUCUCCGACCCCAGGGGCUCCUGGGAUCGCGCUCCUCCUUCUCCCCAGCCCUCACCAUCCGGCAGCCUCUUCUGCCUCUGUUCCGCCGCCCUCUGGCUUCACUAUGGAACCCCCUGCGGCCCCUGGCCCCCUGUCUCUCCCCUCUGGGGCCCCUCUAUCCCUCCUCGGCUCCCCAGUCGACACCUUCGUCCCGCCCUGCACUUCUCUCCACUUCUCACAUUUCUCCUCCUGCCCCCUCUCUCUACCCUCCUCUGUCCCAUGACUAUGAAUUUCACAGAGAAGCCUGUUUAUUUAGGUGACACCAAGUGGGAGACACACGAAACCGUUCCCCUAGGCUUCUGAGACCCCAAACCGGAGCAGACCAUGUGUCUGAAUGCAGAAGCUGAGCCCCAGAGCCCAGGGCCCCAGGAGCCUGAGAGAAAGUGCCCUAAGGAGACCCCUGCCAGGUAAGGCCUAUCUCUGAGGGCUCUGUCCUUGCCUGGCGGCCCUCAAAACCUGGCUAACUGCUCACAGGCAAGUUGUGCCCUGGGUUUCCCCCACCAACUCCACACUUCACCCUGGGGGGGAGGGAAGGGUCACCAAAGUCCCUAACCCCUCCUUCAGGUGGGGGGCCUGUGCUCUCCCACCUCUGUCUCUUCAGCCUCCCCCUCCUCCUUGCUGAUCUCACCUGAGUCUCCCCUCCCCCGACAGGCAGGCGGGAGCAAAGGAAGAGAAGGCAGGACAGAUCUCCAGCUCCCUAUCUCCUGUGGGACCCUUUGACCCCUCAGCUGUCACAACUGACCUUUUCCAACUUCUCCUACCAGAGGCCCCACCCCCCACCAUGAAGCCCCUUUCCAGCCUGGAAUGUGAACUCCCCUUUCCGUGCCCCAAAUGUGGGAAGCGCUUCAGCCAGGGGGCCCGGCCUGACCCUGUACCUACACUCCCACACGGGUGACAGGCCCUGCUCCUGCAGCCAGUGUGGCCACAGCUCCUACCUGCCCCAGCCCCCGACACACAUGCCCACCAGUGUAGCAAGGGCUUCUCCCAAGAGCUCUGGCCGACUGCAGCACACCACUGUUCACACAGGCACAUGGCCCUACGUCUGUGUCACCUGUGGAUGGGGUUCAGGAGCCACCCAGCCUCGUCUAUCGUGAGAAGACUCACUUAGUGAGCACGGCUUCCCCUGCCCCGAGUGUGGCAAGCACUUCACCCAGAGUGUCCGCUGAGCCCAGCACCUACGGACGCUCACAGGGGAGAAGCCCUACCUGUGCGGCUAGUGUGGCCAUGGCUUCAGCCAGCACCCCCGGCUCGUGGUCCACCAGUGGGUCCACCGCUUGGUUCCUCUGCUAUCCCUGCCGGUCCACACCUGCUAGGUGUGCUCUUCCCUCGGGUGCGGGCAGUAGCCUGCUGCCACACAGUGCAGCACAUGAGAAGCCCUUCUUCUGCCCCCAGUAUCCCGAGGGCUCUGGCUACUCCAACCUGCAACACCACCAGCAGGACCACGGGGGGAGCGGCCCCACCACUGUGACCAGUGCAGCAAGGGCUUCAGACAGAGCUCAGGGCUGUGUGGCACCAGGGAGUCCACAGGGGCAAGACUGCGAGUGCAGCUUCCGGUCCAGCUCCGGCCUGGCCCAGCACCUGCAGGGCCGCUCUGGGGAAAGGCCCUUCUGCUCUGGCGGCUGUGGCUUCACUCAGAGUCCCCAUCGACCUUGACAACAGGCCAGGGCUGGUGAGGAGCACAGGGAUGAACAUGGAGGGGGGGGACAUCUGGAGGCCAAGUCAAGGCCCCUGUGGGGAGCCAGCCCCCCAACUCCACAGCACUCUAGGGGGGUAGAGGGGCAGUUGGAAUGACUGCCUCUUUUGUGGGAGGCAUAAUGGAGCACAGCUCCCACCACACCCCAGCCAGAGCAACUUUCAGAGCAACCACAUUGGGUGGCCAGAGUGUCUCUGCUGGACCUACUCAAAGCUGGAAUGGCCAGGUCCACCUCACUUCUAGUCCAACGUGCCAGUUCCCCAGAGAGCUCCCGGCCUGGGAAAGAGCUCUCCCUGUUUCUUAGAAAGGACUCUGUACUUCUGAUCUUCUGUCCUCCGUCUGAGAAAUUUAACCAGGAUGUCUGGGUCCUGCUGCCUCAUGGAUGGAUCCGAUUCCCUGGGAUUUUUUUGAAGGGAUCAUUUCAAAGAGAUAACUGAAUCCCCAUAGAGCUCCAUGACAACGCCCACCAUCAAAUCCUAGUCCCCCACUAACCCCUCCAACCCUCUCAUUUCCCCCGAGGCUUCUGGGUGCUUCUUGCCUCUGGUGCUAAAGCUACACCCAGCACACCUGUCUGAUGCUGCCAUCUCCCUAUGCCUACUCCUGGCCUCGCUAGGCCCUGUUUCAGGACCCCAGGGCUUCCUAAAACCUUCAUUGCACUUCAGUCUAGGAAUAAAGCCCAGAUGGAGGCUGCUCUUUCCAGCUGUACAGAGGCCUCCUAUUGAAAGGUGCAAAAGGGCAGAGGCAGGUGUCCAAGGAGAGGGCAGGGAUGUGGAGGAGAUGGAGACCGGAGGAAAAGCCAAGGGAGAUUGGAGGAGAAAGUGGGAGGUUCUGGAAUGUGGAGAAAAGACAGCAGGGCUGUGUGAGACAAGACACACAAGAAACAUCUCAGAAAAACUUAGAAACAAAUGUCUUCAGGUACGAACAUCCCCGGGGAACCACUCAUUUCUUCUUCAGUUGACAAGUUUCCCCCAGUGUUGUGAAGGCACUGAGUUGCCAACACAAUCACUUCAUGUCCUGCCAUUUGCACUUUUUCCACAAAAUUGCUUGCUAACUGUCUUCUUCGUGUGUUGGCAAACUGAUUUUGAACAAAGAGUCAGGAGGGAGUCCCACAGCAGAGUCCCUUCCAGACUGGUGCCCCUGGCCCAGCCUGGCACUGAGGAGAGCACUGUCAUCAUUCACCCUUUUAGAAGGUUCUGCUGGGGGAGUCACUCCCUGGCAACACUCACAGCAAGUUUAUGGUUACUGUUCAUGUUAAAGGAUAAGGUAGACCUCAGCUCUUGUAUUAACUUCCCCCAAAGUAUACUCUUUAGAACUGGGCAGAGUCCUCCCUAGGAGGUAUCAGAGGCUGAUUACUGACACACACACGAAGGAAUUAAAGAACUGGAGGGAUAAAAGGGUCACUGAGAGACUGCUAAUCAGUUUCACCCUUUCAGGAAAUAUGUAUUGAGUCCACCACGUGUCAGGGACUGUUCUGGGACCUGGGUAUUACAAACAGGCAUAUGAUGCAGCCCCCGCCUUCCACCGAUUUGAUCUAGGCGUGUUCAGCAUCUCAAUAUUGAACCCAGCAUCUAGUCCUAUCAAUUGUAUCCACUAUAAUCUCUCUCAAGUAUGUCGUCUCUUUCCCACCCCUCCACCUCCCUUGUCCAGCUACCACCUGGACCAUCUGGUUCUCCUCUGAAUCAUCGUGAUGGCUGGAGAGGCUGGGAAUGGUGUUCUCUGUGAGCAGCACACCUGAGUAACAGAGGCCUCUUUGAAAUGUAAAUCUGAUUGUUUCAGGCACCCUGCUUAAGCCCAUUCAAUGGUUUCCCAUUGAUCUCAGGUUAAAGACCCCAGUCCUUAACCUGGCCUUUAAAGCUCUGCGAGGUGUGGCCGUGCCGGCCUCUCCAGCCUCAUCUCCCACCACUCACUCCUCUCUCCCUCUCGCAGAGCGCUCCACUUCCUGUCGGUGUCCCGCUUCCUCCCGCAGAGAGCGGCGGCCAGGCUGGGCCCUCCUCCUGAGAGGCGCUUUCUUCCAUUUCUCUCUUAGCUCCUCAUUCUUCGGAUCUCAGCUCCUUUACCACAUCCUUAGGGAAGGUACCCUAUCCUUUCCUUCAGGGUCCAAUUCCCUCCUCUGGGCUCCCACACCAGGUGCACCUUUCUCGCAGGCACUUGGCACCGUUCAGUUCCAUAUUUGUUGGUGAUUAUUUGAUUGAUAUCUGUCUCCCCACAGACUGUAAGCUCCCUGAGGGUGGGCACCACGACUGCAGAGGCUCACUCUUGCUAUUCCCUGGACACUCCAUAAAUAUUGAAAUAUUGGUUGAAUGGGUGCACAUGUGCCAGGAUCUGCAGCAGGUGCUAGAUAUUUCAGGAUUUCAGAGAGGGUGGAUUGAGGCCAUAAUUUCCCUCCAGCGGCUGCCGCCCAAGAGUCCCAUAUGCCAUUUCCUUAGCACCAUUCCUUUCUCCAUGUUUCCUGGUGUCAUCCAUCUUCCCAGCUCCGCCUCUCCGGUACCCUCCCCACCUCCACCUUGCCUAGGAGAACCUUUCUCCCUUUAGUUUUUUAGUGCCCCUUCCUGGUUUUGGCUCCUUGGCUUCAGAAGCCAGCAUGGAAUAAUGAGGCAAUAGCACAGGAUUCAGAAACAAAAUAUCUGGAUUCAAUAACAAGGUUAAAAGUAUUAGCGGUGUGACCUUCAGCAGGCUAAUAAACCACUCGGAACCCUAGCUUACAUAAAAUGGGAACAACUUCGAAAUCAAGCAAGUUGGAGGAAUUAGAAAACCUAAAAGCACCGUCAUCUAGAAAUACUGGAUAAAAUAUGAAAAAAAUUAAACAUAUGACUGAAUUCUCAAAAGGAAAGUAAAAUUCCAGGUGCCAGAAACAAAGAGGAAACUGAAAGCUGGAGGCUGAGCUGACUGUGGCCACGGUGACCAGAAGGCGGCUGGAGGGAAUGGGUUCUGUUAACUCAGGGCUUGAGUGCUUCCAGCCACCCGGGGACAGGAGACGAGGUCUUGGUCCUGAAGAGGUGGGGAAAUUAGAUGAAAGGAGCCAAAGCUGACUCAAGAAGAAAUAAAAAACCUGAACAGAUCUAUAAAUUCUAAUAAAUUAAAUGAGAAGCUAAAAAUGUACACGCACACAGCACCUAGAUGGUUUCUAGGUAUAUUAUUCUGCCAACUCUUAAAGGAACUAUUUAUUUAUUUAUUUAAACUACACCAGAUAACGGUACAAGAGGAAAAUCUCACUUAUAAGACUAAAAGUCCUAAAUAAAAUAGUAGCAAACUGAAUCCGGUAAAGUUUGUGCAAGUGUGUGUAUAUGUGUAGGUAAGUGUGUGUGUGUGUGUGGGUGUGACCAAGCAGGGUUAUUCCAGGAAUGUACGGAUGAUCUACUUAAAAAAUCUGCAAAUGAUAUUUACAACACUGACAUAUUAAAGGGAAAAAAACCACGAUUGUCCCAAUAGGUACAGAGAACACAUCGGAUAAAGUUUAACCCUAAUUCAUCAUUUUAAAAAAAUCUAGCUAACUAGGAAUUGAAAAUAACAUCCAAUAUCAAGAUAAGAAUAUUAGUUUUUACUGUUUCUAUUCAACUCGUGUUAGGGGGUCUGAACUGGUACAAUAAGAAAGAGAAGAAAUAAAGCCAUCACUAUACAUAAAUGAUUGAUUGAUUAUUGACAAAGACAAUUUAUGAGAACCCACAAACAGAACCAGUACAGCCCUUUCUGGGGACAAGAUGAAUAUGCAAACACCAAUUUGCCUGUAUCAUAGCAACAAACAAAUGGAAGAUUUUGUUUUAAGAAAGUACCAUUUGUAAUAGCAACAAAAGCUGUAUGAUACUUAGGAAUAAGUAUAACAUAACAAAAUAUGUGCAUAUUUAUGGAGAAAAUUAUAAAAAUUUAUUGGAGAAUGUUUUGAAAAGACACAAAAGAAUGCUCAUGAAGAGGAAAGCUCAGUAUGAAGAUGGUAAUUUUUCUCAAAUCUAUAAAUUCAGUACAAUUCUAAUCAAGACCCCAGCCAGAUGUUUUAUGGAACUUGACAAGCUGUUCUUAAAAUUCUUAUGGAAGAGUAAAUGCCCAAGAAAAGCCGAAACAAAUUUGAAGUGGAGGAAUACCAGAGUACUCGCCUUACCACAUAUCACAGCUUCCCUCUAAAGCUCAAGUGGUAAAGGCAGUGUGGUCCUCCAAUAGUGUAGACCACUGGUACAGGAAAGAACGUGUUGGAAUCAGACCCGCAAAGAUAUGAGAACUUGGCAUAUGACAAAAGUGAUAUAGGUCAGCGGAAAAGGAUGAACUAUUUGUUAAAGUGUCAGGUUAACCAGCUAUCCAAAUGGGAAAAAAAAAUAGAUCCCUACAUUACAACAUACCCCCAAAUAAAUUUCAGAUAGCUUAAAUACGUGAAAAACAAAACUUAAAACUGCUUGAAGAAGAUAUAAGACAAUAUAUUGUGAUAUUAGAGCAGGGAAGGAUUUCUUAAACAAGAUUCAAAAAGCACAAAUAAAGGAAAGAUGCACACAUAUGACUACAUUAAAAAAAAUUUUUUUUAACCUCUAUAAGCCAAGAGACAUCACAACAAAAUAAAAAGACAAGCCACGGACUUGGAGAAUAUUUACAACCUAUAUGACCAGCAAAGGAUUUGUAUCCAGGAUUUAUAAAGAACUCUUGCCAAUCAAUAAGAAAAAGACAAGGCAGGUGAAAAUGAGAAAAAGAUAACAGCAGCAAAGCACCGAAGGGGAAACUCAAAUGGCCAAUAAACAUAUGAAAAGAUGCUCAACUUCACUAGUAAUGAAGAGACGCAAAUUGAAACCAUGAGAUAUGACUUUACACAUGCUAAAUCAGCAAAAUUAAAAUAACUCUGGUAACACCAAGUGUUGACAAAAAUGUGGGACAACAGGAACUCAUACAUUUGAGAUUGAAGUGUAAACAGCUAUAACAAAUUUCAAGAGAAAAUUGUCAAUACUUAAUGCUGAAAAUGCAGCUAAUACCCAGCAAGCUUGCUUCUAGAUGUGUUCCUCAGAAAAACAUUUGUGCCAUGGGCACAAAGAAGCAAGGAUAAGAAUGGGCAUUGCAGUGUCAUUUCAUUGUCAAGAAAAAGUGGAAACAACCUGUCCUUAAUGUAAAGGAGUAGAUAAAAAGGUAUGGUUUUAUUCUUACAAUGGACUGCUGCACAGUAGUUAAAAUAAGUGAAUUAUAGCUAUAUUCUAACAAUAUAAUAUAACGAGUAGAAGAAAGUUGCAAAAAUGGAUGUUGUAUGAUGUUUAUGUAAGUUUAAAAAUAUACAAAACAAUGAUACGUGUUUAGGGAAAAAAUCAGAUUUGUUAAAAAUACAAAAUAUGCAUGGGAAUUAUUUCCAACAACUUCAGAUUAAUUACCACUGCAGAAGGAAAGAAAUGGGAUGGGCUUUAGCUGUCACUGUAGUGCUUUUUUAUUUUUAAAGAAAAGAUAUAAAGCAAAAGAAAUAAUGUAAAAGUAAGGAUUUGCUUAAUUGGGUUGUUGUGAUAAUUAAAUGAGCCAGUAAAUGGAAAAAUGAUAAAUGAAAGUUAGCUGUUCAUCUCUUUGGAAGAGUACAAGGAUGCUGACUCUGGAGGUGGAGCCAUCUGACGUUCCUACCUAUUCUCUCCUCGCCAUGUGAGGUCUCUCUCCUCCUAUUUAUACCUGUUAAUCUUAGGCAAGCUACUUAACUGCUGUGUGCCUCUUUCCUCAUCUAUCAAAUGCCUGUAUUAAAAGUGCCUUUCUCAUAACAUUGUUGUGAGAAUCAAAUAAGUUAAAGUGCUUAGAACAGUCACGAGCUUAGAGCAGGUGCUCCAGGAGACUGCUGCUGUCGUUGAAGAUGAUGGUGUUGUUAGUUAUCACUUCCAGCUGCAUAUAAGUUCCUUUUUAAUCUCAACUUCUAAAAUCUCUUAAGAACCUCACUUGACAAUGAAAAUGCUCAGUAUCUGAGAAGACCCAGACUCUGCCUUCAAGGAGCUGAAUCACAGGUUGCGAACGCACCUUCCUAUAAGGACCUGGCAGGUCCCGUGCAGAGUGCCAGGGUGAGGUGGUAACAGACGGAGAGCACUCUCUCCACCUGGAGACUCAGCAGGUCCUGGUCGGGUGUUGCCAUGUAGGAAUUCAGAGUUAGCAUUGUCACAUUUAAAAAAUUCCUUUUAAGAGAAACUAUAAAUCCCAAUUUUUCUGUAAAACCUCUUCAUUUUUUUAAGUGCUGCAAUUAAUUCAAAAGAAUAAUAAAAGCACAUUAUGAACCAAGUGAAAUAAUUGUGUGGGUUGCCAGUUUCUGAGCUCUAAGAUGGAGGUUGGCACAGAGACAGAUGCAUGAGCGGAUCUUGAAAACACAACGUAAUUAGAGCUAUAAUAAAGGUGGGUAACAGAGGGCAGCAGGAGCGUGGUGGAUUGAAGACGGCAGCAAAUGCUUUGUCACUCCUCACAUCAGGAUGUACAGUCUGUUUCUCCUCCCUUGAAUCUGGGCUGGCCCUAUGACCGGUUUUGACCAAUGGAACGUGGCAGGAGUGAUGUGUAACUGCCGAGAUUAGGUCUUAUAAGAUCUGCAGCUUCCACUUUUUGCCAAUCGGAACAUGCCUUCUUGGAACCCGGUCACCAUGCUAUGAGGAAGCCCAAGCAGUCACAGGGAGAGGCCCACGUGAAGUAGAACCAAGGCCCACAGAGGGCAACACUUGCUGAGCUCCAGCUGGCAGCCAACAUCACUGCUUGCCAAGUGAGCGAGGCUAUUUUGGAAUAUCCAACUGCCCCAGCACACCAGCCAACACUAAAUACAGCAGAACUGCGAGUCAAACUGCAGAAUUGUGAGAAACAAUAAGUUUCUGCUGCUUUAAAGACACUAAAUGUUAGGGCGGCUUGUUGAGCAGCGAUAGAUAACCAAAACAGGCAGCAUUAGAAAAAAGAGGUCUCACUCUACCUAGAAGAGUCAGAGAUGGCUUCAUAGGAUUUGAGAUUUGAGCUAAUUCUUGAAAAAGGCAUACAUUGGCUUUGUGUGUAUGUGUGUGCGUGUGUAGGGAGGAGUGGAUGGUGAGUAGUUAACUUUUAGAUGGAGAGAAAAGCAUGUGCAUAGCGUGGAUAAUGGAAAGUAUGAUGUGAUCAAGCAUCCCCAAACAUUUGCACGGAGUCAGAUGGCAACUAGACUUUCAGGGGUGAACACGAUGCAGUCUAUGCAGAAAUUGAAAUAUAAUGAUGUACACCUGAAAUUUAUGUAAUGUUAUAAACCAAAUCUUACCUCAAUUAAAAAAAAUUGUUUAAAGGAUCCCCAGGUAAGUCAGUUUUGCCAGCUGGAGCAUAAAGCACAAAGAUGGGCAGGAUGGAAGAUAAUAAUCUCUAACAUUUCUUGAGCACUUACUAUGUGCCAGGGACUGUGACAGAUGCUUCAAAAAAUCAUAUAAAUCACUAAUCCUCACAAUAUCACUAUCUCAUUUUAAACAUGAGAAAGUUGUGGCCCAGAGAGGUUAGGUAACUUGCCAAAGAUCACACAGCCAACAGAUGGCAGAGCUGAGAUUUGAAGCAGCCCUGUAAAGCCUGUGCUCUUUCCACUAUGUUGUAGGGGCUACAGCUUCGUAUGCUGAGUCAGAUCUGAAGGGCCUUGUGUGCCAGAUGAACAAGCGGAGAUUUUACCUGAAGUGGGGGCAGCCAUUAAGGAUUUGCGAGUAGGGGAAUGUUCCGCUGUCCACUUCAGAAGCAUCCCUCUGGCUCCUGUGAGGAGCAGGGGCUAAAGAGGAGGUGGCAAAACUAGGAGCAGAGGACCAGUGAGGAGACAUCGCCAAAGGUGUAGGUGAGGACCCCUGAGCAGUGCUGCAUCCCCUCGUCAUGGGGACUGGCACAGCCUGCCUGGGACCAACCAGGUGGCUCAGAUUGGGAGAUAGGUUUGGGGGCAGAACCAGGAUAAAGAUUCUCUCUGAAGCACAUAGAGAACGGAAAGCUGUGUUACUACCCGGCAGGGAAAACUGGGUUCAAAACCUGGAAUCCAAAGUUCCAGAGAUGAGAUUUAGGUUGGGGUCAUAUGGCCAAACAUUGGGAGCUGGAAAGAGGCAAGAUUGAGGGAGCAGGUCAAGACUGAACAGAAGUCCUGAACCACGGCUGCAAACUGCAGGAAGUGUGUGGGCUUCGCCUCUGUGGAGCUGGUGGGGCUGGGGAAAAGCCAGAGGUAGGUGGGCAGCAGCGUUGGAGGGAUUCAGAGACGGUGAUGAGCUGGAAAAUGAAAUUGCUAGGACUUGAUCAUUAGAACCUGGGAGAAGAGCAAGAGUGAACCUGGGGGCCUUCUGAGUUUCUGGCUUGAGCAACUGGGGUCAGUGGUUCCAUCUACUGAAACCAGGAACAACGGAGAAGGAGUAGGUUGGGGAGAAAAGACAAACUCAAAUUUGGGAAUAUUCAAUGCUUGCUUGAUAAGUUUAAAUUGAAACACUAAUUUUUAAGCAACUGGAGACUCAGUUUAAGAGAUUCUGGAGACAGAUAUCUGGGAGCAGAGCUCAAGAAAAAAAUCUAGGCUAGAAAUAUACUAUCAGGAGCCACCAGCAUAGCAGUGGUAGUUGAAGCCAGGGGUAUGAGAGUGCCCGAGAAAAGUGUGCAGACGAGGAGAGAAGGGACAUGGACCAAGUCAUGGAAAGUAGCCUAAGAAAGAUCAGCCAGAGAAGCUGGAGGAGAAAUGAGAGAAAGAGAGAGUGGUUUCACAAAAGUCAACGGAGAAAAAAACCUUCAAAGGGUAGUCAACAGGGGCAAAUGCUCCAGGAAAGAAAAAUGAAAUGAAGAUGGAAAAUAUCCUUCUAUUUGGCAAUGAGAAGAUCCGACUGUGGUUGCCUUAGUAAGAGCAGAUUAGGUGGGAGGGUGGUGGGGGUGGAGCUGACUCCAGAGAAUUGAGGAGGUGUGUUAGUUAUCCGUUGCUGCGUAACGAACCACCCCAAACCUUCAAGGCUUACAACAGCAAGAACCUUCCAUUACCUCCCACAGAGUCUGUGGGUUAGGUAUGGAACAGGGCACAGCUGGGACCACUUGUCUCUGCUCCAUAACGUCUGGGGACCAAGCUGGAAGUGACUCAGUGACCGGGAGCUGCAAUCAUCUGAAGGCUUGUUCUCUCACGUGUCUGGCAGCUGAUUCUGGCAGUUGGUUGAAACCUUAGCUAAGGCUGUUGGCUGCUAACCCUGCGUGACUGGGUUCCGGCGGGGGUGGGGCAGGUGGCGAGCAUCCUGAGGGGAAGAGAUAGAAUUCUGACAUUUGAGGGGCCCAGAACAAGAAUACAAAUAAAGAAUAUGAAGUUGGAUGGAUUUAAUCUGCCUGUUCAGGUUGUAGAUUUGAUGAAAAUGAGCCAGAAAAUUAUUUUAUCAAAUCUACA